This 74-nucleotide transfer RNA is filed under the name Fomitopsis schrenkii. RNAcentral's name for it is "tRNA-Cys (GCA) (tRNA-Cys-GCA-2-1, tRNA-Cys-GCA-2-2)". It matches the Rfam family "tRNA". Rfam says of the family: Transfer RNA (tRNA) molecules are approximately 80 nucleotides in length. Their secondary structure includes four short double-helical elements and three loops (D, anti-codon, and T loops). The record is from RNAcentral. Lineage: Eukaryota; Fungi; Basidiomycota; Agaricomycetes; Polyporales; Fomitopsidaceae.
GGCCUUAUAGCUCAGCGGUUUAGAGCAUUCGAUUGCAGAUCGAAGGGUCCCGUGUUCGAGUCACGGUGAGGCCU